AACCAGUAUCUUUCCGACCACCACGUUUUCAAGUACCACAGUGAUGGCCAAGGAGUGGCUGAUCUUCGCCUUGGGCACUAACAACUGGCAAGGGUCAGGGCAGUUUGCCCCUGGGUCUGGUAUUCUCCACCAAGGACAGCACAUUGCCAUGAACUCACUGGAAAAGUGCCACUGCUACUCGAUUUGGCCCUCUGAUCUCCAAAAGACCCCAACGGAUCGUGAUGACUACCGCGUGUACGAGAUUCCUCACCCGAUUCCCAUCUGCGAGAGUGUCGGACCACAGAGCAGCAAGAGAUGGCACUCUAUGACCGACGAGGAAGUAACAAGCUACUGCGACAAUCUGCUGAAGGAGUGCACUGACUUCAUCGAGUACAUCGAGAAUAAGCACGGCAAGCGUAUCAACCUCUUUCUCGCUCAUCAUUGCUUCAUGAAUCCUGUGAUUAUGUCUGAGAUCAACGAGCGUCGUGUGGCACAAGGGAUUCCGAAGGUGCCACUUGUGGUCUUCGCGCAUGGCACAGCUCUCAAGAUGUACGAGAAUGAAAUCAACAAGUUACCAGAGUUUCCCAUGAAGUACUACGACUGGAUUCGCGGCACGAAGAAUAUCUUCGAGAGCACUGGUCAUGUCUCCGGUGUUUUUGCCGUCUCGGCACCGCAGAAGAAUAGCUUUGAAAAGCUGUUUCCACUUUUUCCCAAAGAGCGCGUCGCCAUCACACCCUGCGGCUACAACCAGCUGGUGUUCCAUCCAAUACAAGGGAUGACACGCGAAAAGGCUUUCGGCCACAUGCCCCAGGUUCUCUACGACGGAUUCGAUGCCACCCAGCUCUCAUCCGUGCAGCGCCACGUGGCUUCUGAUCAACGCAUCUCUGACGUGAACGCUUACGACAGGGUCGUUGUUUUUUGUGGCCGCUUUGCUCACUGGAAGCGGAUCGACUCCGUCCUAAAGGCUGCCAGUAUGUGGGAGAAAGAGGACAAGAGGAUCCUUACUCUGAUCUUUGGUGCCGGCUCUCAAGAAACUCGAAAGCUGUAUGUGGACAUGGCCUAUCAGACGCUGGGGCUGAAAGACACCUUCUUCCUGGGACCUCAGAGUCAGCCUGAUCUAGCCAACGUCUACACUGUUGCGGAUGUUUCUGUGUUCCCGAGCCAUGAUGAGCCCUUCGGACUUGUGUUCAUCGAGUGCAUGGGGUGCGGAACACCUGUGAUCGGUGCCAAAUCCGGCGGCCCGCUGGACUUUGUCAACGACGAGGUUGGUGCCUUGGUGGACGAAGGUACAAACGACGAGGUUGCCGAGCGUGUCUAUGCUGCGGUGAAGCAGGCUCUCGCGGAGGACUGGAAGAAGACAAAAGGGGACCAAUGCGAGCAGUAUGCGCUCAAGAAGUUCAGCCUCACCUCGCAGGCAGAACUGAUGCUUCAGUUCGUGGAGAGCCACUUUACCAAGUGAUACGCUCGUGUGUGAAAUAUUUCUAGAGAGCUAACGGAACUCGUUCUCUCUGCCUCUUUUCGCGCCCUUUUUCACUUUCAUACACAAACGCCUUGGUUUCAUUCGUUACUUUUCAUGCAAUUGCAAGUGAUUCUAUCAGUGCGGCCUCUUCUUGGAGGCUGAAUGUGAAUACUUUGAUCUAUUUAAACACAGUUCUUUUGCUGGUGAUUGUGUUCUUAUCAUCGAAAAAC
Molecule: unclassified non-coding RNA, 1668 nt
Filed under: Leishmania donovani
Lineage: Eukaryota; Euglenozoa; Kinetoplastea; Trypanosomatida; Trypanosomatidae
Description: gene:LdHU3.16.1150(CDS-product:sucrose-phosphate_ synthase-like_protein)
Source: RNAcentral